CUGGCGGCGUGCUUAACACAUGCAAGUCGAACGCGAAGGGACUUCGGUCCUGAGUAAAGUGGCGCACGGGUGAGUAACGCGUAGAUAACCUGUCUUCAUGUCUGGAAUAAUACGCCGAAAGGGGUACUAAUACCGGAUAUUCUUGCUUUUCAUAAGUUAUGCAAGCAAAGGUGGCCUCUGCAUAUGCUACUGCAUGAAGAGGGGUCUGCGUACCAUUAGCUAGUAGGUGGGGUAAUGGCCUACCUAGGCGACGAUGGUUAGCGGGUCUGAGAGGAUGAUCCGCCACACUGGCACUGGAACACGGGCCAGACUCCUACGGGAGGCAGCAGUGAGGAAUAUUGCGCAAUGGGGGAAACCCUGACGCAGCGACGCCGCGUGAGUGAGGAAAGGCCUUCGGGUCGUAAAGCUCUGUCAAGAGGAAAGAAGUGUACAAUGGCUAAUACCUGUUGUAUUUGACGGUACCUCUAAAGGAAGCACCGGCUAACUCCGUGCCAGCAGCUGC
This 502-nucleotide ribosomal RNA is filed under the name uncultured bacterium. RNAcentral describes it as "bacterial SSU rRNA". It matches the Rfam family "Bacterial small subunit ribosomal RNA", at positions 36 to 518 of the family's 1533-position model. The record is from RNAcentral.